GCUUCUUCACUGGCAGAUGGUGGUCUUAGGUACAUCUCAAUAAAACUAUGAACAAAGCUCCAUAAAGUCAGUUGUGACCAUCACUUGCAAAGAAAAAUACAAGCACAAUGGAGGAAAUAAUUGACAGAAUUUACUAUGGCAAUAAUGCCACAGUGCUAGGAAGAAUCUAGAGUCUAGAACUCACUUGUCAACUUGUGCUUCCUUUCCAUGGAAUACAUGAGAUGCAUGUUCAUCUUCUAAUUGCUGCAUUAGGGGAAUU
RNAcentral lists this long non-coding RNA (259 nucleotides) under Nicotiana benthamiana. Its description in RNAcentral is "long non-coding RNA (NBEN_LNC001562)". Lineage: Eukaryota; Viridiplantae; Streptophyta; Magnoliopsida; Solanales; Solanaceae. The record is from RNAcentral.